UGAGUAACACGUAUCCAACCUGCCGUCUACUCUUGGACAGCCUUCUGAAAGGAAGAUUAAUACAAGAUGGCAUCAUGAGUCCGCAUGUUCACAUGAUUAAAGGUAUUCCGGUAGACGAUGGGGAUGCGUUCCAUUAGAUAGUAGGCGGGGUAACGGCCACCUAGUCUUCGAUGGAUAGGGGUUCUGAGAGGAAGGUCCCCCACAUCGGAACUGAGACACGGUCCAA
This 226-nucleotide ribosomal RNA is filed under the name uncultured bacterium. RNAcentral describes it as "partial 16S ribosomal RNA". It matches the Rfam family "Bacterial small subunit ribosomal RNA", at positions 107 to 334 of the family's 1533-position model. The record is from RNAcentral.